GACGAACGCUGGCGGCGUGCUUAACACAUGCAAGUCGAACGGAAAGGCCCUGCUUUUGUGGGGUGCUCGAGUGGCGAACGGGUGAGUAACACGUGAGUAACCUGCCCUUGACUUUGGGAUAACUUCAGGAAACUGGGGCUAAUACCGGAUAGGAUCUCCUGCUGCAUGGUGUGGGUUGGAAAGUUUCGGCGGUUGGGGAUGGACUCGCGGCUUAUCAGCUUGUUGGUGGGGUAGUGGCUUACCAAGGCUUUGACGGGUAGCCGGCCUGAGAGGGUGACCGGCCACAUUGCGACUGCGAGACGGCCCAGAAUCCUACGGGAGGCAGCAGUGGAGAAUAUUGCACAAUGGGCGGAAGUCUGAGGCAGCAACGCCGCGUGCGGGAUGACGGCUUUCGGGUUGUAAACCGCUUUCGCCUGUGACGAAGCGUGAGUGACGGUAAUGGGUAAAGAAGCACCGGCUAACUACGUG
This 468-nucleotide ribosomal RNA is filed under the name uncultured bacterium. Its description in RNAcentral is "partial 16S ribosomal RNA". It matches the Rfam family "Bacterial small subunit ribosomal RNA", at positions 28 to 507 of the family's 1533-position model. The record is from RNAcentral.